AUCCUGGCUCAGAGUGAACGCUGGCGGCGUGCCUAACACAUGCAAGUCGAACGAUGAUGGAGGAGCUUGCUCUUCCUGAUUAGUGGCGCACGGGUGAGUAUACCAUAGAUAAUGUACCUCUUAGUUCGGGAUAGCCACUGGAAACGGUGAUUAAUACCGCAUACGCCCUGAGGGGGAAAUGGGGGACCGCAAGGCCUCACGCUAUACGAGCGGCCGAUGUCGGAUUAGCUAGUUGGUAGGGUAAAGGCCUACCAAGGCGACGAUCCGUAGCGGGUCUGAGAGGAUGAUCCGCCACACUGGGACUGAGACACGGCCCAGACUCCUACGGGAGGCAGCAGUGGGGAAUUUUGGACAAUGGGCGCAAGCCUGAUCCAGCCAUGCCGCGUGAGUGAAGAAGGCCUUCGGGUUGUAAAGCUCUUUCAGACGGAAAGAAAUCGGUGAGGUUAAUACCUUCACUGGAUGACGGUACCGUAAGAAGAAGCACCGGCUAACUACGUG
Molecule: ribosomal RNA, 498 nt
Filed under: uncultured bacterium
Lineage: Bacteria
Description: bacterial SSU rRNA
Rfam family: Bacterial small subunit ribosomal RNA
Source: RNAcentral